RNAcentral lists this long non-coding RNA (560 nucleotides) under Sus scrofa (pig). RNAcentral's name for it is "lncRNA (ENSSSCG00070019740.1)". The record is from RNAcentral. Lineage: Eukaryota; Metazoa; Chordata; Mammalia; Artiodactyla; Suidae.
UGUUGCUGCCUAUGGUGACUGUGCUAGAACUGAAACUUCUCAGGAAGCCAGGCUGUUAAAAUUGUGAUGCCCUGUACUCAACAAUACCAUGGAUUAUCUAGUCCAAAGUGGAAAGCAAGCCCUUACGGAAGCAGUCUGUAUCUUUCAUAUUCAGAAUUCCUAUUAGGAAACUCGGGCACUCAGAAGAAGAGGCAAGAAAGAACAAAGAGGAUCAACCUGCACAAAACCUUCAAAGCCUUCGACAUUACCUGAAGGCCUGUGGAACGAACGCUGCUUUGGGGAAAAUUCAAUCCAAUUCAGGUAAGUGGCUCAGGGAUAGCUUGCUUGAGAAUUCUUUUCCCCUAAGAAGUAAUGCCAGUGAGAAGUUAUUUGCUCAUUUAUUGUUACAGCAUUCUGACAAGGUAGAAAAGAAUGAAGGGAGACAUGACCUGCCUUCCAGGAGUCUCAUGAGAAAGAUGGCACAGAUGCAGAUAAAAACAAGAUGAAUACACACACAGGUAAAUAUUUACCAGUGGUAUAAAAGCAUGGAUUGUGGAAAUUGAAUGACCUCAGUUUGCAGC